AUGAUUGAAAACCUCUGUCCAAUUCUCUCAUGGAAUGUUCGGGGCCUGAAUUCGCCAGCUAGAAGAGCCGCUGUUGCUGAAAUUGUUGUUUGCCAUCGCCUUGGUAUUCUAUGUCUGCAAGAAACAAAAAUCUCCACCGGGACUACUGAUUUGGCCAGAGAAGUUGGAGGUGCAAAACUCAGAGACUGCGUUGUGCUGCCUGCUUUAGACACUAGGGGGGGUGCUGCCAUCUUCUGGGACCCUGAUGUUGUGGAGAUCACCUCUCAUGCAAUUGGACAGUUUGCUAUAACUGCUCAAGCUAGACUCAAAGCUUCAGGCAAAUCCUUCUGGUUGACUACCGUCUACGGGCCAACCGAUGAUGAGAGGAAAGAAGAUUUCCUGACUGAAAUAAGAAGCUCGGCCCCCAAGCUGGACAACCUUGGCUGA
Molecule: ribosomal RNA, 426 nt
Filed under: Triticum aestivum (bread wheat)
Lineage: Eukaryota; Viridiplantae; Streptophyta; Magnoliopsida; Poales; Poaceae
Description: partial small subunit ribosomal RNA
Source: RNAcentral